Molecule: non-coding RNA, 387 nt
Organism: Pelobates cultripes (western spadefoot toad)
Lineage: Eukaryota; Metazoa; Chordata; Amphibia; Anura; Pelobatidae
Source: the annotation of a GenBank genome assembly
CGGAUAGUUUGGACAUGCAGUUCCAUAGACGCAGUUACACACACUUACAUCUAGAUGGACAACCUGGGUUGCACUUGUGCUCCUGCGCUAAAUGAAAUGAUUACUCUAUCUAAAAAAAAACAAGCCAUAUGUCUUUUAGAUGCCAACAUAACGCUCGGCAGCCGUGAUUGUAACACAAGCUGAUCCCAUGUGUAACACUUUAUGCUUAUGCUUCCACCAAUAACCCUGUAUAUGAUUAUGCAUUUAACGAAACUGUCGAUUCACCCACCCUAACUCUCCUACUUUAUCUUUAAUGCUACAAACAAUUUGACUCCUAAUGUCUACCUACAGCCAUCAGAGAGAUACUAAUUUACUAAUGCCUAUCGACACUGUUAUCUUGUAUCUGCG